Molecule: long non-coding RNA, 364 nt
Filed under: Medicago truncatula (barrel medic)
Lineage: Eukaryota; Viridiplantae; Streptophyta; Magnoliopsida; Fabales; Fabaceae
Description: long non-coding RNA (MTRU_LNC000634)
Source: RNAcentral
GUGCGGGUAAUCCAUGAGGGAUUCAAAACCGUUUGUGGUCGGUGAGUUUUUUUUUAUCGUGUCAUUCUCUCCUCACAAAUACUCUUUUGCAUUUUUUAUUUUAUCUUUUGCAUUCCAAAAUCCGAAAAAUGAGAAGUGUUUUAUUGUAUGCUUUCAAAAGAUAAGUGAUGUCAUUCACUUGCUUUCGGAGGUUCAACAUAUGUAGAGGUAAACAACAUCACUCACUUUCAAUACUUUGCUAGCACUAUCAUACCAUGACGAUCAUAAUAUUGAUCAACAAUCAGAGGGUUCUUGACUCAUCCAAGUUUAAUAUCUUCGUAUGCGACAUUCCUUGCAUACCCACUUCCCUUUUCCAUGUCAAUGU